AUUGAACGCUGGCGGCAUGCUUUACACAUGCAAGUCGAACGGUAACAGGCCGCAAGGUGCUGACGAGUGGCGAAAGGGUGAGUAAUGCAUCGGAACGUGCCCAGUCGUGGGGGAUAACGCAGCGAAAGCUGUGCUAAUACAGCAUACGAUCUAUGGAUGAAAGCGGGGGACCGUAAGGCCUCGCGCGAUUGGAGCGGCCGAUGUCAGAUUAGGUAGUUGGUGGGGUAAAGGCCUACCAAGCCGACAAUCUGUAGCUGGUCUGAGAGGACGACCAGCCACACUGAGACUGAGACACGGCCCAGACUCCUACGGGAGGAAGCAGUGGGGAAUUUUGGACAAUGGGCGCAAGCCUGAUCCAGCAAUGCCGCGUGCAGGAAGAAGGCCUUCGGGUUGUAAACUGCUUUUGUACGGAACGAAACGGUCUGUGCUAAUACCCUGGGCUAAUGACGGUACCGUAAGAAUAAGCACCGGCUAACUACGUGCCAGCAGCCGCCGUAA
Molecule: ribosomal RNA, 498 nt
Filed under: uncultured bacterium
Lineage: Bacteria
Description: partial 16S ribosomal RNA
Rfam family: Bacterial small subunit ribosomal RNA
Source: RNAcentral